UUCUCACGAAGGCCCAUGAUACUGACUGGUGCUCUGAUGCAUGGUGAUGUAUACAUUUUUCAGUUUGUCAAAACAGUGCCAGAUUUCUGGUCAAGGGUCUCAGUUGAGCUGUAUGGGCUCUGUGACCUUUAUGAAGAGAAUCAAAGAAGCAAUUCAGACUAAAAGGUUUUGGGAACCUAUGUGUGCCUUUUCCAUUUCGGAAAUAAUGGCGCUCAGGAUCACCUUUGUCACAGGGAUGAAAGGCUAACUUAUGUGAGAAGUUUGUUUUCUAGAAGGUGUGGACUGGGAGGUGGGGAGCACAUGUUGUGCUUAAAAGAUGGUGGAGGUAGGAGAGGCUCCUGGAACACAUUACUGCUCUUGUCCGCACUGCACAUGAGUGUUUUGUCUUGUUGACAGUCCUGAAGUAGCUAGAGAAUACUGUGUUGCAGUACCCAAGAGGAGGGCAGGUUCAUGAACAGUAUGUUGACGCUUUCAGAACAGAAGCAUAUGCGCUAGGAAAACCAACCAGUUCAUCUACUCUUUCCUCCACCUUCAAACAGGUUCAUGGACAGCAUAGCUGAAGACAUCAAGGCAAUACAUCCUGAAAGAGACCCAAGAUGAGUUACUGCUAGGAGACUCUGAAUUCUCUAGCAAGACAUGUAGAUGGAAGGAUUUUUGUAGAAGAUGAAGCAGCUGAGUGCUGACAAACUGUCUGGAUAUGUCUCUGAUCCAACAAGUGCCUCUCUUCAGGCUGAUCUGCAUUUGCUGUUCCCAGCUCCCAUGAACUCUUACAACAUAAAGAACAGAACAGCACUGGGACCUCUACAAUGUACUGGAUGCAAGUAAAUGCGUGGGGAAAAACUGCCUGGAGAUCAGCAGCACCACAUAUGUGGAUAUUUGCUUCUCUCACCUGCUGGGUCAAGACCAUGUCAGCUAGAACACCCACAGGGUCUUACUGGAAGGAAACCAUCUCUUCGUUAAAUGCAAGCAAAGAAGACCUGUGUGUGAACAAGUGUUUCAUGAUUGAUGCUUGAAAUAUGAAGAUCUUCAGCCCAAAACCUGUGAAUACAUUGUGGUGCCUGCAGGGGAGUUUUGCCUCCACACACAACUGCAGAGAAGAGAAACCAUAGGCAUUUCAUUCCAUUUUUCCCCUGGAGUGGAAGGGAGCUGCAAAUUGGUUAUGGAGAGUGAAAAUGAUAAUGCACUAUAGAGAAAUACGGGCCAGAUAAGACAGCAGAGGCCUUGAGAAGCAGAGACACCAGAUGCGGCAUAAAGGAGUACAGGCAUGGAGUGAUAAUAGAUGGGGCACAGGCUGGCACUUCAGACCCCACAGCUAUAAACAGCUCACCAAUGGUCAGUUAAAGAAAUGCACACCUAGAGCUGGACAAAACUUGUUUCAGGUGUAACAAACUGAAGAAAGAAAUUGUAUCUAACAUUUGUAAAAGGCACCAUACAUAGCAAAUUCAGAUGUGCUAUGGAGCUGAAGACCAAUGAAGAAAGAGCAAGGUGUAAAAGCAUGUAAGCAAAUGUAUAAAAAUGACCCCAAGUGGAUCCUAGAUUGAGGAAGACACCAUCAAGAUGAACAUCUUAUUCCUCCCAGUGAAGGACUCCAGAUGCUGACAACUCGUCACGACACCCCGCAUUUCCACUGCCAGAAAAAUACGCCAACCUUGGGACCCUGAGGAGCAGAAGAAGGAUGAGCAUGAGAGCAGGAUAAAGGGUAAAAACUGAGAGAGAAGAGAAAAGAGAGAGAAGAGAAGAGAAGAGAAGAGAAGAGAAGAGAAUGAAGCAAAGAAAAAAAUAUCCAACUGUAAACAUCAUCCAUUUGAAGGUGCAAAAUAAGAAAAUGUAAUACAAAAACCAGAAUCUUUUAAAAAUGACUGAAAUAUUUCCUAAAAAUUUUAUUUUCCUCUUUUCUUAUCUUUAGCUUAAAUUUAUUUGUGUUUAAGUUUAUUCUACUUAUCCCAGGUGGUAAAUAUGGUGUCAUACAAGUUUAAAAAAACUCAAACCCCAAGGAUCUAAUCCUAGAUUAGAUCAGCUGAGCUUUAUCUAAAAACUAUGUUCUUUCAGAACAUGCAGUGAUUUCAUCAUUACUCUGCCUCUGGAUUAAAUUAAUCCUUUUCUGUUUCUUUUGGGAAUUUAGCAAUGCCCUUUAUAGCAGGGCUUUUUUCAUCUCACAAUGGUGUUGUUGUAUACGAGUUGGCCUUUGAUAAUGCAAUCUUGUUUCCAUGGUCUGCAUCCAUUUGAAGGGGAUGUCCUGAUUUAAUUAAAGACUGCAACUGUGCAUUCCCUGUAUGGUUAUGUUCAAAAGCACAGAGCACUGCGAGCUUCCCUUGCUUGCCCCAAACUGAAACAAAUUGUUUUUGAAGCUGACAGGUUGAGGUGGAGUUCCCAAUUGUGUGGCCUAAUUUCCUGUUAUCUUACUGUCAGGAAAUAGCUGGUGCCCCACUCCCAGCAGGAGUGAGGAGGGGUAGCACCACUGCAAUACGCCGGUUGGACGGCUGGAAUACUUCUGCUGGUAUCCAGGAGCCACACAAAAUGUGGCAUUUCCCUCUUGGGAACAAAAAAAAAAAAAAAGAAAAAAGAAAAAAAAAAAGAAAGGAAAAAUCAAUAUAUAGAAAUUAAUGUGCCUUUGUGAAGAUUCAAAACAGAUGGGGAAAAGGUCAAGGAUUCUUUGUUGCUAAGUGCGUUUCUAUGACAACUGCAAUAUGUAUGUUAUGAGUGAGCAAUCAUUUGUUCCAGCUGCUGGAUCAUUAAAGUGGUAGCAUCUCCCAGAACACUGGAAAUGUUAUUCAUGGCUUAUUUACUUUUUCUUUGCCACCCCUUUAAAUCAAGGUUCAACAGGUAGCACUCUGUAAGCACAUGAAAGCCUCAGUCAAUCUGAGCAUGCUAAACCACAGGUCUGUGUGAGUCCAUGCUGCACAGUGAGUACCUUGCAGGAUGCUGGGGGAGCUUACUAAGGAGAUUAGGGAGAUUAAUAUAGAUCCAGUCGUGCAAUUCAAUCUGUACACAUCUGAUGUUGGGCUGUGUUGGAUGCCUUUUCUGUAGAAUUUAUGGCAUGACUUCAGAGAGGUCUGAGACUUGUCUCUCUUCAGUCCACUACAGCAUGGGAAUAACAGUACGUACAAAGACUUAAAAAAUGUUUGGAUGUCAUCCUACAAAAAGUUAAUUAACUAAAGUGUCAAUAGUAAAACACUCCUUUCUUCACAUGUUGAAAUAAAAGGACAAAGUUUUCAUCACCGCCUGGUUUUCCAUGCUCCAUUUACUAUGACAGCAUGGGGAUCCGGUGCAAGAAGCACAAGUUUCAUUCGGAUUCAAUUUUAUGAGCCUUUCCAUUUAUGUCAUUUCACUAACUUCAUUUUCUGUUGUUUUCAUGGAAGAAUAAAACUAUAAUGGGGUUGAUACAGGGUCAAUAUCCAUUGCCAGGGAUAUUGAUGACCGAGUUGGGUAUUAUUUCUGUUCCGUGAAUUGUGUAUCUGGAAAAGGUGGCCACAUCAGUGUCUCUCAGCCUACCACUCAGUCAUUUCUGGUUGCACGUGAGCCACUCUGUCUUCCCUCGCGGUGCUGUAGCUGACAGCCAGAAAACACCUCUCUAACUUUCAAUAUGACGUCUUGUAGAAAAUUUCAAAGUCUAUUUAUUGAUUAAAAGAAAAAGGAAAAAGAAAUAGUC
This is a long non-coding RNA of Dromaius novaehollandiae (emu), 3649 nucleotides long. RefSeq lists it as uncharacterized. Lineage: Eukaryota; Metazoa; Chordata; Aves; Casuariiformes; Dromaiidae. The record is from RefSeq and is a predicted model, not a curated record. The transcript is spliced from 7 exons.